UUAUUCCCACACAUGUGGUUGCUUGCACCACUAUCAAGGUGACACUUGUGAACCUCAUUUGGUUCAUCCUUCUUAUAAGCCAUCAAUAGCAUAUCUUCUUCUUUACUCCUUUCUUCAACAUAGUUGGACCUCUCUUCAACUCUAUUGUUGUUUGGAGUUUUGCACUCAGAAGCAUAAUGUCCAAACUUCCCACAACUAUAGCAUUUGAUUCUUGAUUUAUCGUACCUUGAUUUUGCAUUUCCUCUUCCACGACCUCUUGAUGAGUUCUCUCCUAUUUGGUUGAAGUUAACUUCAUAUGGUCUCCAACCU
Molecule: long non-coding RNA, 309 nt
Filed under: Brassica napus (rape)
Lineage: Eukaryota; Viridiplantae; Streptophyta; Magnoliopsida; Brassicales; Brassicaceae
Description: long non-coding RNA (BNAP_LNC024689)
Source: RNAcentral